GCAGUAGAACGCUGAAGAGAGGAGCUUGCUCUUCUUGGAUGAGUUGCGAACGGGUGAGUAACGCGUAGGUAACCUGCCUUGUAGCGGGGGAUAACUAUUGGAAACGAUAGCUAAUACCGCAUAACAAUGGAUGACACAUGUCAUUUAUUUGAAAGGGGCAAUUGCUCCACUACAAGAUGGACCUGCGUUGUAUUAGCUAGUAGGUGAGGUAACGGCUCACCUAGGCGACGAUACAUAGCCGACCUGAGAGGGUGAUCGGCCACACUGGGACUGAGACACGGCCCAGACUCCUACGGGAGGCAGCAGUAGGGAAUCUUCGGCAAUGGGGGCAACCCUGACCGAGCAACGCCGCGUGAGUGAAGAAGGUUUUCGGAUCGUAAAGCUCUGUUGUAAGUCAAGAACGAGUGUGAGAGUGGAAAGUUCACACUGUGACGGUAGCUUACCAGAAAGGGACGGCUAACUACGUGCCAGCAGCCGCGGUAAUACGUAGGUCCCGAGCGUUGUCCGGAUUUAUUGGGCGUAAAGCGAGCGCAGGCGGUUUGAUAAGUCUGAAGUUAAAGGCUGUGGCUCAACCAUAGUUCGCUUUGGAAACUGUCAAACUUGAGUGCAGAAGGGGAGAGUGGAAUUCCAUGUGUAGCGGUGAAAUGCGUAGAUAUAUGGAGGAACACCGGUGGCGAAAGCGGCUCUCUGGUCUGUAACUGACGCUGAGGCUCGAAAGCGUGGGGAGCGAACAGGAUUAGAUACCCUGGUAGUCCACGCCGUAAACGAUGAGUGCUAGGUGUUGGAUCCUUUCCGGGAUUCAGUGCCGCAGCUAACGCAUUAAGCACUCCGCCUGGGGAGUACGACCGCAAGGUUGAAACUCAAAGGAAUUGACGGGGGCCCGCACAAGCGGUGGAGCAUGUGGUUUAAUUCGAAGCAACGCGAAGAACCUUACCAGGUCUUGACAUCCCGAUGCUAUUUCUAGAGAUAGAAAGUUACUUCGGUACAUCGGUGACAGGUGGUGCAUGGUUGUCGUCAGCUCGUGUCGUGAGAUGUUGGGUUAAGUCCCGCAACGAGCGCAACCCCUAUUGUUAGUUGCCAUCAUUCAGUUGGGCACUCUAGCGAGACUGCCGGUAAUAAACCGGAGGAAGGUGGGGAUGACGUCAAAUCAUCAUGCCCCUUAUGACCUGGGCUACACACGUGCUACAAUGGUUGGUACAACGAGUUGCGAGUCGGUGACGGCAAGCUAAUCUCUUAAAGCCAAUCUCAGUUCGGAUUGUAGGCUGCAACUCGCCUACAUGAAGUCGGAAUCGCUAGUAAUCGCGGAUCAGCACGCCGCGGUGAAUACGUUCCCGGGCCUUGUACACACCGCCCGUCACACCACGAGAGUUUGUAACACCCGAAGUCGGUGAGGUAACCUUUGGAGCCAGCCGCCUAAG
RNAcentral lists this ribosomal RNA (1418 nucleotides) under Streptococcus salivarius. RNAcentral describes it as "bacterial SSU rRNA". It matches the Rfam family "Bacterial small subunit ribosomal RNA". The record is from RNAcentral. Lineage: Bacteria; Bacillati; Bacillota; Bacilli; Lactobacillales; Streptococcaceae.